Pyrgilauda ruficollis (rufous-necked snowfinch) is the source of this 461-nucleotide non-coding RNA. NCBI's taxonomy places the organism in Eukaryota, Metazoa, Chordata, Aves, Passeriformes, Passeridae. The record is from the annotation of a RefSeq genome assembly.
AUGGCGAGCGACAACGGGCAGAGCUCGGUGACGCUGACCGUGAACAGCCUCAAGGACGAGGAUUCCGGAUCCUAUUUCUGUGCCAAAGCUGCUGGGCUCCGGGCGGCCGUGACCCUGCUGGAGUCCGGGGGGACCUCCAGCCCCCCGGGGGGUCCCUGCGCCUCCUCUGCCGAGGGUCCGGGUUCAGUUUCAGCAGUUUUGGGAUGGGCUGGGUCCGCCAGAGACCCGGGCAGGGGCUGGAGUGGCUCGCAGGGAUCACCAACAAUGGUUACACCGACUACGCGCCAUCGUUGAAGGGCCGGGUGACGAUCUCCAGGGACAACGGGCAGAGCUCGGUGACGCUGACCAUGAACAGCCUCAAGGACGAGGACUCCGGAUCCUAUUUCUGUGCCAAAAGUACCUAUGCUGCUCUCGGCCCUUUGUCCCAAUUCUCCCCCAUUUGCACCAAUGCUCAGCACUGA